AACGAACGCUGGCGGCAUGCCUAACACAUGCAAGUCGAACGAGACCUUCGGGUCUAGUGGCGCACGGGUGCGUAACGCGUGGGAACCUGCCCUUAGGUUCGGAAUAACUCCCCGAAAGGGAUGCUAAUACCGGUUAAUGUCUUCGGACCAAAGAUUUAUCGCCUUUGGAUGGGGCCGCGUUGGAUUAGCUAGUUGGUAGGGUAAAAGCCUACCAAGGCGACGAUCCAUAGCUGGUCUGAGAGGAUGAUCAGCCACACUGGGACUGAGACACGGCCCAGACUCCUACGGGAGGCAGCAGUGGGGAAUAUUGGACAAUGGGCGAAAGCCUGAUCCAGCAAUGCCGCGUGAGUGAUGAAGGCCUUAGGGUUGUAAAGCUCUUUUACCCGGGAUGAUAAUGACAGUACCGGGAGAAUAAGCUCCGGCUAACUCCGUG
This 433-nucleotide ribosomal RNA is filed under the name uncultured bacterium. RNAcentral's name for it is "partial 16S ribosomal RNA". It matches the Rfam family "Bacterial small subunit ribosomal RNA", at positions 29 to 507 of the family's 1533-position model. The record is from RNAcentral.